AGUGAACGCUGGCGGUAGGCCUAACACAUGCAAGUCGAACGGCAGCACAGUAAGAGCUUGCUCUUACGGGUGGCGAGUGGCGGACGGGUGAGGAAUACAUCGGAAUCUACUUUUUCGUGGGGGAUAACGUAGGGAAACUUACGCUAAUACCGCAUACGACCUACGGGUGAAAGCAGGGGAUCUUCGGACCUUGCGCGAUUGAAUGAGCCGAUGUCGGAUUAGCUAGUUGGCGGGGUAAAGGCCCACCAAGGCGACGAUCCGUAGCUGGUCUGAGAGGAUGAGCCGCCACACGGGAACUGAGACCCGGCCCGGGCCCCGAGGAGGGGCAGAAGUGGAGAAAAUUGGACAAGGGGCCCAAGUCUGCACCGGCCACCCCGCGUGGGGGAAAAAGGCCUGCGGUGUAGAAAGCCUUUUUGUUGGAAAAAAAACCCGCCCGGAAAAUCCCGGGUGGGAAUGCCGGUACCAAAAAAAAAACCCCCGGCAACUUUCG
This 490-nucleotide ribosomal RNA is filed under the name uncultured bacterium. Its description in RNAcentral is "partial 16S ribosomal RNA". It matches the Rfam family "Bacterial small subunit ribosomal RNA", at positions 29 to 505 of the family's 1533-position model. The record is from RNAcentral.